Molecule: long non-coding RNA, 611 nt
Filed under: Homo sapiens (human)
Lineage: Eukaryota; Metazoa; Chordata; Mammalia; Primates; Hominidae
Description: HSALNT0360142
Source: RNAcentral
GGCGCGGUGCAUGGGGCUAGAACUCAGGGCCCAGCAGGUCUGACAAUGCAGGUUUCCCCGCUCGCCUGUUGGGUUUUUGAAACGCCCUCAGCGGGGUUUUCCUCCUAAUUCUGGUUUGGAGGAGCCAUCUCUCUCCAUCCCGUCUGCCAGCGGGGUUUGCUUCACACACAGACGUGGGCAGAUGGCAUCGGGGACACAGGGAAACCUGACCUUAGAGGAAAUGGAAAAGUUGGAGAGACACUGAGCACUGAUACGAAAUAAUUCUCUUGCUGAAAUACACGAAAGGAGUCCCAGCAGCCAUAUUAGUAUUUCCACGUCCUGUGUCAGCCCCAAGUAGAGAGAACUUGGAAUGGGAGGGGAAAUGGCAGCCAUCAGGAAAUGAAAUGCUGGCCCAGAGAAUUCUAAGCAAGUCAAUCACCAGUCCAAAAGAGGGACACCAGAUCUUUCUUUCUUUCCUCAUGGGCACAGAGGAAAGGCCAUGUGAGGACAUAAGGAGGAGACAGCCAUCUAUAAGCCAAGAAGAAAGCCCUCACUAGAAACCAACUCUAAUGGCACCCUGAUCUUGGAUUUCUAGCCCCUGGACAAUGAGAAAAUAAAUGUCUGUUGUUUAA